This 761-nucleotide ribosomal RNA is filed under the name uncultured earthworm cast bacterium. Its description in RNAcentral is "bacterial SSU rRNA". It matches the Rfam family "Bacterial small subunit ribosomal RNA", at positions 74 to 835 of the family's 1533-position model. The record is from RNAcentral.
GCCCUUUCGGGGGUACUCGAGCGGCGAACGGGUGAGUAACACGUGAGUAAUCUGCCCUUCACUCUGGGAUAACUGCCUGAAAGGGUGGCUAAUACCGGAUAUUCACAUUCUCCUGCAUGGGGGUGUGUGGAAAGAUUUUUUGGUGGGGGAUGUGCUCGCGGCCUAUCAGCUUGUUGGUGGGGUAAUGGCCUACCAAGGCUUCGACGGGUAACCGGCCUGAGAGGGUGACCGGCCACACUGGGACUGAGACACGGCCCAGACUCCUACGGGAGGCAGCAGUGGGGAAUAUUGGACAAUGGGCGGAAGCCUGAUCCAGCAACGCCGCGUGAGGGAUGACGGCCUUCGGGUUGUAAACCUCUUUCAGCACAGACGAAGUCGCACUUUUUGGUGUGGUGACGGUAUGUGCAGAAGAAGCACCGGCCAACUACGUGCCAGCAGCCGCGGUAAUACGUAGGGUGCGAGCGUUGUCCGGAAUUAUUGGGCGUAAAGGGCUCGUAGGCGGUUUGUCGCGUCGGGAGUGAAAACCUCGGGCUUAACUCGGGGCUUGCUUUCGAUACGGGCAGACUGGAGGUAUGCAGGGGAGAACGGAAUUCCUGGUGUAGCGGUGAAAUGCGCAGAUAUCAGGAGGAACACCGGUGGCGAAGGCGGUUCUCUGGGCAUGACCUGACGCUGAGGAGCGAAAAGUGUGGGGAGCGAACAGGAUUAGAUACCCUGGUAGUCCACACCGUAAACGUUGGGGCGCUAGGUGUGGGGUCCAUUCC